Ahaetulla prasina is the source of this 3210-nucleotide RNA transcript. It is a transcript of the gene named CLN5 intracellular trafficking protein, with no coding region annotated. The transcript has 6 exons. The record is from RefSeq and is a predicted model, not a curated record. NCBI's taxonomy places the organism in Eukaryota, Metazoa, Chordata, Lepidosauria, Squamata, Colubridae.
CCGGGCUCAGCUGACGGCGGGAGCGCGCAAGCUGUGGAGCUGCUGCACAACCCAGAUCGGUUUCGGUCUCCUGCGCGCCCGGGAUGGGGCUGCGGACGAUGCCUCGGUUGCUGCCGCCGCUGUUGCUGCUGGUGUUUCUGGCGCCGGGCGGGCGGGCGAAGGUGUGCGAGGCCGAGGGCCGCUGGCCGGUUCCCUACAGGCGCUUCGAUGGCCGUCCCCGGCCGGAUCCCUUUUGCCAGGCUCGGUACACCUUCUGCCCCAGCGGCUCUGCCCUGCCGGAGAUGCGGGAGACGGACGUCCUGGCCGUGUAUCGCUUGCAGGCUCCCGUUUGGGAGUUCAAGUACGGGGGGCUUCUGGGCCACCUGAAAAUUAUGCACGAUGCCGUGGGCUUCCGAAGCUCCUUGACUGGGAAGAACUACACAAUGGAGUGGUACGAGCUGUUCCAGCUUGGCAACUGUACCUUCCCACACCUGCGGCCUGAGAACCCCGCCCCUUUCUGGUGUAACCAGGGGGCGGCCUGUUUCUAUGAAGGGAUUGAUGAUGCCCACUGGAAGGAAAAUGGCACACUGGUCCAAGUGACUACAAUUUCAGGCGCUAUAUUCAAUCAAAUGGCAAAAUGGGUGGACUACGACAAUGAAACUGGCAUUUACUAUGAGACCUGGAUGGUCAAAAGCAGCCCAGAAAAAAAUUCCCGUGUCUGGUUUGAAGCUUAUGAAUGCUCCAAAUUCGUACUACGGACCUACCAGAAGCUGGCUGAGCUGGGGGCCGUUUUCAAGAAGAUGCAGACGAAUUACACGACCAUUACUCUCUUCAGCGGAGAGCCUGUUUGCCUGGGCAAUGAGACGACUCUCUUUGGACCGCUGGGAAACAAAUCCUUGGCGUUAGCUAUUAGGAAUUUCUACUUGCCCUUCAAACCGUAUCACUCGGUGAAGGAGUUCUUCCUUAACCUAUUGAAGAUACUUGAGGAGGUAGUCCUGGAUCAUCGGUUUUACUUGUUUUAUAAUCUGGAAUAUUGGUUUUUGCCCAUGAAAUACCCUUACAUGAAAAUAGCAUAUGAAGAAAUCCCGUUGCCUAACUCAAAUGCUACCAAAUUCGAGUGGAAUCAAGCUUUGGCGGAUAGCAGUGCGGUAGGAUCACAAGGAUCAGUGGCUGUGGAUGAUUGGAAUUGUAGUCUAAAGUAGAGGUAGGGGAACGUCAGAUUAAGUUGCUAGAAAUUGUGCGUAUCUCUUCCUUGAUGAAUGUCUUGAAUGGCACGUUUAUAGAAUGCUGGAUGGAUCAAAAACAAAGGUGCCUUGAACCUGUUAGCAGUGGGAAAUUUGUCUGACAAAAGUAAGCAGACAUUGAUGAUGUUACCUAGUUUGGUAAUAAAACGUCUUCAAGAAAACCCCCGAGGCCAGAGAGCACUGAGGACCCCACAGAAAGUAAGCUAGUAAACCUCUGCAGGAGAAGACUGAAUACAGAGAAUGGUACACAGGCUUUUAACGCAUACUUGAUAUUUAGUUGACUUGUUUCCCGAGAUGGGUACAUGGAGGAUUGUAAACUUUGGCACGUGCCUGUGUAGCCAUACAUCGAUAUUUGGUACAGAUUAACAACUGCAUUAAGUGUUCCGCCUCCCACAUCCUAUCUAAGAACAGAAACAAAUAACAGAGUUAGAAGGGACCCUGUAGGUCAUCUAGUCCAACCCCCCCACCCAAGCAGGAGACCCUACACCGGGGUCUGCAAACUUGGCUCUUUUAAGACUUGUGGACUUCAACUCCCAGAAGUUCCUCAGCCAGCAGGGAGUUGAAGUCCACAAGUCUUAAAAGAGCCAAGUUUGCAAACCCCUGCCCUACACCAUUUGUGACAGAUGGCAGUUCAAUCUCUUCUUGAACCUGACAUCCAAAUUUAGGAAGCUCAGCACAGCACAGCAAUCCUGACCCUUGGAAAAUGUGCAGUUUCUGCAGUACUUCUUGGGCGAUGGUCUGUGAAGAAAAACCCGACAGCUAGAAAUCUCCAUCACCGUUCAGAAUUUUACUCGCCAGUUCCGACAACCGCAAAUGCAUCCUUAUCUGUGGUGAAUCUUGAGAGCCAUGAAGAAACCUGUGUGCCUUAACCCGCUUGACAGAUGCCACCGGGCACGAGGGCUGCAUUUCUAAGCUUUGCCAAGUCUUGACUUUUUUUUUUCCUGGCAAGAGCCCAACGGAUCUGUUGGGCUUCUUUUUCAAGCUGGACAGAUGCGAAGUCUAUUUUUGUGGGGAAAUGAUUGAAAAAAAAACCCCAAUCAUUCUUUGGAAGAACAUCAUUCCAAUGUUCUUUGGAAAUAUUUUUCACAAUGCCUUUGUUUGUAUUAAGCAUCAUUCCAGAUUUCAUGCAAUUUUUAUUGCAUGAAUGUAAUUUUUUUUUUUUUUGAUAGCUGUUCCAGAAGGAUGGCAAGCGCAGCCUCUCCUUCACAUCAGACUGAAAUUGAGAGCACUCUCCCUCUACUGCUCAGAGCCAGGAACUGUAUUUGUUACUGGAAACAUGGGAAGUCCUCAUUCAGCAACUGGGCUUCACAACUUAGUCGUUAAGUGAAGCAGUCGCUGAGUGAAAUAACUCUGCUGAUGAUCUUCAGCUUUCCUUUGCUUUACAGACGGCCUUCGCAGAAGCAAAAAACAGAUUCCUCGCAAAGAAAAAAAAACCUCUUUUAUUUACACUUUGGGAAUUAAUUGCAUUCACCCACCAAGACUCCUGCAAGGAGUUAACUGGAACAAUAGUCCUUAUGAGCUCGAUAUGAUAAAUGCAAGGCUCUGAGCUGAAAAUUUAGUCAGAGAGCUAGACAAACCUCAGUUCUGGCAAGGCAGCCUUUGUCCCACGAAACAUACAAGGAGCAAACUUUCUAGAAAUGUGAACGGUUGUCUGCUACAACCAAACCACUACCCUUUCCUCCCAUUUAUUCCCCAGCCAGGGAGACGCCAUUCAGAGUCAUUUGUUUUGCUUUCCUAGCCGUUGUUCACCUCUCCUAUCUGCUCUGUGCAUAUGUGCAUUUGGCACAGGCCUCCUGUGUUCCUCCUUUUCAUCCUCACAGCUGCCUCUCUGGCUGGGAAAUGCCGGACAGCCCUGGCUCUAUCUGUGUCCGUCGCAGAGUAUUCAUCAGAGCCUUCCCCAGGCUCCAGAACUGUCCAAGUUCUUCCCCAACUCAUUGUCCGAAUCUGCUGACGGCUCUGCUGUCAGAUGGUGGGCCACACAGAGGUU